This 451-nucleotide ribosomal RNA is filed under the name uncultured bacterium. Its description in RNAcentral is "partial 16S ribosomal RNA". It matches the Rfam family "Bacterial small subunit ribosomal RNA", at positions 354 to 796 of the family's 1533-position model. The record is from RNAcentral.
GUGGGGAAUUUUGCGCAAUGGGGGAAACCCUGACGCAGCAACGCCGCGUGAGUGAUGAAGGCCUUCGGGUCGUAAAGCUCUGUCAGAGGGGAAGAAGUGUGGGGUGGCUAAUAUCCAUUUCACUUGACGGUACCUUCAAAGGAAGCACCGGCUAACUCCGUGCCAGCAGCCGCGGUAAUACGGAGGGUGCGAGCGUUGUUCGGAAUUAUUGGGCGUAAAGCGCGUGUAGGCGGUUUUUUAAGUCUGAUGUGAAAGCCCUGGGCUCAACCCGGGAAGUGCAUUGGAAACUGGGAGACUUGAAUACGGGAGAGGGCAGUGGAAUUCCUGGUGUAGGAGUGAAAUCCGUAGAUAUCAGGAGGAACACCGGUGGCGAAGGCGGCUGCCUGGACCGAUAUUGACGCUGAGACGCGAAAGCGUGGGGAGCAAACAGGAUUAGAAACCCGGGUAGUCC